GAGACGCUGGCGGCGUGCUUAAUACAUGCAGUCAGAGCGAACAGAAGGGAGCUUGCUCCCGGAUGUUAGCGGCGGACGGGUGAGUAACACGUGGGUAACCUGCCUGUAAGACUGGGAUAACUCCGGGAAACCGGAGCUAAUACCGGAUAGUUCCUUGAACCGCAUGGUUCAAGGAUGAAAGACGGUUUCGGCUGUCACUUACAGAUGGACCCGCGGCGCAUUAGCUAGUUGGUGGGGUAAUGGCUCACCAAGGCGACGAUGCGUAGCCGACCUGAGAGGGUGAUCGGCCACACUGGGACUGAGACACGGCCCAGACUCCUACGGGAGGCAGCAGUAGGGAAUCUUCCGCAAUGGACGAAAGUCUGACGGAGCAACGCCGCGUGAGUGAUGAAGGUUUUCGGAUCGUAAAGCUCUGUUGUUAGGGAAGAACAAGUGCGAGAGUAACUGCUCGCACCUUGACGGUACCUAACCAGAAAGCCACGGCUAACUACGUGCCAGCAGCCGCGGUAAUACGUAGGUGGCAAGCGUUGUCCGGACAUUAUUGGGCGUAAAGGGCUCGCAGGCGGUUUCUUAAGUCUGAUGUGAAAGCCCCCGGCUCAACCGGGGAGGGUCAUUGGAAACUGGGAAACUUGAAGUGCCAGAAACAGGGAGAGUGGAAUUCCACGGUGUACGGUUGAAAUGGCGU
This 685-nucleotide ribosomal RNA is filed under the name Bacillus sp. UST050418-333. RNAcentral's name for it is "bacterial SSU rRNA". It matches the Rfam family "Bacterial small subunit ribosomal RNA", at positions 30 to 692 of the family's 1533-position model. The record is from RNAcentral. Lineage: Bacteria; Bacillati; Bacillota; Bacilli; Caryophanales; Bacillaceae.